UGCUGGCCGGGAGAAUAGGGAAGCAGGUGUGAAACCUGCGCGGGACCGCCGCCGUAAUGGAGGAGUUUGAGGUUCAUCAAUGCCACUGUGCACACAGCAUGGGAAGGUAAGACCUCAAGCGUGGACGCCAGAGCCGGAAGACCUGCCUUGUUGUUU
This 156-nucleotide non-coding RNA is filed under the name uncultured Acutalibacter sp. The record is from RNAcentral. Lineage: Bacteria; Bacillati; Bacillota; Clostridia; Eubacteriales; Acutalibacteraceae.